GUACCCAAGUUGUUCUGGUCAUAAAACACAAGGUGUGUCAUUGUGGGGACACAGUGAGCAAUGUACCUGCCUGUCUGUGUAUCAGAUAUGUCUUGCCAAACACAGGCAAAGCGAAAUGUCCUGGGAAGGCAAACAGCCUCCUCCCUCCUGUACCAGAGAGCAGGAUCACUGUGCUCUACCUACACUCCAGUGUCCCUGCUGAUGGCCAUGAGUGAUAACAUGUAUCAUGGGUGUCCCUGUGAGUGAAGAGCAUCUGUCCCUGGAUGUGUAGGUGCUGUAGGGUCCCUAGCGUGUAGCUGGGCCAUGUUAUUGUCUGUCCAGGGAACAGGCUCUUAGGAGGAGUGAGAUUUCCCAGCUCAGGGUUCUGCCGUGUUUGUGCCCCUAACAUCAAGGACUGGGAUCUGGGGUUGGUCCUUCUGCUCCAAGCUCACUGUGUGAGGCCAUCUGAUUGCCCUGGAGUGUAGCUAUCAAUCUAUCACCAAGGCUCAAAUGCAAACGGUGGAGGCACUUACUUUCACACAUAUACCAUCCAGUUUCCCAGCAUGCCAUUUGGUUUUGCUUACAACGCCACUUCCAGUGAGUUCAGAGUUUCAUUCACAGCCAGGAGCAGUGUUCACUGGAAUUGGCCUUUGCUCUGUCUAUGGCCUUCUACAUGGAGCAGUUCAUUCAGGCUCUUGCUAUCCCAAACGGUUAGUGGUGUGGAAUUAGUGUUAGCAACAUCUGGCUUGAUACCGACUUCUGCUCGUCACUAUGCCCGGGGCAGGCCACUUCACCUGGCUGAACUUCUGCUUCUUCCCUACAGGGUGUUCUGGUGCCUCACAGGUCAGAGGUCAGUGAAGAGGCAUGCGUGUGGUGGUACUCAGGGCCAGUACAAUGCUGGCCUCCCUCAGGGGAGGGUGAAGGUGCCACUAGAUCUGCCACUUGUUCUGUCCCCUGAUACUUUGAUAUCCUAGCUGUCCUGCAUCAUUUUGACCUUCAUCAUUAUCUUCCUCAGCCUCUGGUCCAGGAGCCCUUUCCAUAGCAUCAGCUCACUUUUUCCUUGGUCCUCCUUGUUAGAUACUCAGGAACUGAUUUGCUGUAUGCUUUCUGUGUCACUUGCUUAACACUUCACCAAUCUGGGGCACAGCACCCCUGUGGACAUUUACUUCUCUUUCUGGGCCUUCACUGGGCCUAUGGUUUCUUUUUUCCUGUAUCUUCCCUUCCCUGCAAAAGUGUGUGUGUGUGUGUGUGUGUGUGUGUGUGUGUGUGUGUGUGUGUGUGUGUGUGUGGUAUAUAUGUGUGGUAUGUUUGGGGUAUGUGGGUAUAGAAUGGUGAUGUAUGUGAUCUGUACAUGGUGUGUUGUAUAUCUGUAUGGCAUUUAUGAUAUAUGUAUAUAUUAUAUGUAAUAUAUGUGUCUAUGAUGUGGCAUGUUUUGUGUACACAAUGAGUCUGGUAUGUCUGGAACAUGUAGUAUAUGUGGUAUGUAUGUUAUAUGUGGUAUAUAUGGUGAAUGCAUCUAUACUGGAAGUGUGUGGUAUGUGGUAUAUAUGCUGUAUGUAUGUCUGUGUGUAGUGAUAUGUAUUAUGUAUGUGGUGUGUACAUGGUAUGCAUAAUAUGUAUAUUAAAUGUAUGCAGCAUGUAUUGGUAUUUGUGUUAUAUGUAGUGUAUGUGGUAUGUGCUUAUAGUGGUGGUUUUUAUGGUAUAUGGUGAGAAUAUGAUAUGCAUCUGAUGUAUAUGGUAUAUAUAUAGCAUAUAUGGCAUGGAUAUUUGGCAUGUGGCAUAUAUAAGGCGUAUGUGACAUGUAUGUUAUAUGUAUAUGGUUUAUAGUAUUAAUGUAGUAUGUGUCUCAUGGUGUAUGGUAUGUGUAAUAUAUGGUAUGUGUGUUGUAUGCAGUGCAUGUUAUAUAUAGUAUGUAUGUGGUAUCUGGUAUGUGCAGUAUCUGUGGUAUAUGUUUAAUACGUAUGGUGUAUUUGUGGUGUGUGUGUGCUGAUUCUACAGAGGAAAGUAUGAAUGAAUGUGGGUGACGCCACAUAGCAGUGGGAGUGCUAGGUGACAUCUCACCGUGUGUGUGUGUGUGUGUGUGUGUGUGUGUGUGUGCGCGUGUGCAAACUAGGCUCUUGGGCUGUGUGUGAACUGAGGAUAAGGAGUGUAAGGAAAUGGAGUGUGAAGUGUCUCUGCUCAUGCCAUAUGUAAAUAUCUGUGUGUGUGUGUGUGUGAGCGGGUGCGUGUGUUGUCUCUGUCAUGAGACUGUGUGGUACAGUAUGAAAAAGUCAUGUGAGCACAUGUGCAGGAAGGCCAGCAUCCAGGUGCUAUGUACAAGUAUGUGCAUGACACUAUAUGAAUGUGCAAAGGGGAUCUUGGUGUCUAUGUGGUGGAUGUGCAGGUAGUACUCCCCAGAACCCAUGGCAGUUAUAUGGCAUGCAGGAGCCUCUACUGGUGGCAUUCAGCCCAUGUGUGUGCCAGCCUGUGAAUGUGUCAUGAUAGAGUGUGAUUGUAAAGGGCUGUGUGUGUGUGUGUGUGUGUGUGUGUGUGUGUGUGUGUGUGUGUGUGUAACAGACACAGGUGAACUGCUUAGGGUUAAUGGCCAGGGACCAGCUAGCCAGUCUUUAUUUUAUGCUGCUGGGGCCUCACUUAGCUCUGUGCAGAACCUGUCAGGGCAGGAGCGAGUGAGUCUCCUUUUGUGCAGAGCUCUGACCAAGUCCCUGCCCAUUCUCUGUCCCACAUGGUUGUAGUGGAGAAUUCCCACAGCCUCUGAGCGAGAGUUACACUCAGGGCCUGGGAGAGGUGGUCAGAGGACGAGCGCUGGACUGGAGCAGGCAGAGAAGGAAAGCACCCUGAGUCUAGGCUGCUUGGUUGCUCUGAAUAGGAACUGGGCUCUCUACUGUUCUGAGCCGGGCUCUCCUCAGUUCUCUCCGCUUCUUCCCUAAUGAGGUUCGGAGACAUGAAGCCGAUGACAGUGGCCUUUCUUCUCCGUCAUAUUCUGAGAUCUGUGGAGAUCUUUGUCACCAGUGUCCUGACGAACGUUCUUUCUCAAGAAAAAAAAAAUUUGUUGAAUGAAUUAACGACAGAUAAGAACAUCUAUAGUUGCUUGGGGGGGGAAGGCAAAAAUAUUUGAAAUGUUUUUAUUCUACAACACAUGAGAUAAAGCAUGUGGCUACACUAGGGGAGAGUGUGUGUAUAUGAAUGUGUGCACCCAUGAGUGUGAAAUAUACAAGGGUAGAGGCAGACAGCCCCUCCCCUCUAGCUAUGGCUAUCCCUGGAGCUGAGGUUUCUAGGCUGAUCAUAACUUUCAUGGUUUGGUCUUCCGGGCUGUUAGAGAGAUGGGGUACAGUGUUGGUCUAGGGUUUCUGUUUUCCUGGGAGGGGCACCUCUCCUUUUGGGGAAUUUGUAGCAGCAGCUAAGCAGACAAUUGCUUGUCAGCUUGAUUGAAGGCUUUUCAAAAUGUCUUCCACGGAACACCCUCCCAUCCCCCCAGUGAGCAGAUUAUCUGAGGUGGAAAUGUUUCUCCCUCUGCUUUUUUCCCCCCUUCCUCAAAGUAGUAAUUACUGCCCAAGUAGCCCUCCUUGGCGUUUCCUGUCGUUUGGAGGCUGAAGCCAGCGGCUGUUUCCUCUGCUGGGUGACGGACAAGCAGGCCAAUUAGGGGAGCACCCCGCCCCCAGCUUGGCCCUGAGCCCCAAGGGCUCCUGGUGGCCUCCGUGGGAGCUGAAGGGCCAGGGAGGCUUUGCUUCUCCAGUGGGGACUGGAUGGCUGACCAUUAGUACCCUUGGCUCUCUUCCAAGUCCUGAGGCUUCACUGACCCUGAUCUCCACACCCCUUUCGCUUCCGAGGGAGCUUGAUCUGUCCUCAGCUGUAGCCACAGUGCUGGGCAUCUUCAAGUUAGCUGACGGACAAACAGCUGGAAGACAAAGAAGGAUCACCAAAUGCUAAUUGAUUAAGUGACAGGCCUGAGUGUGUCCGCAGCACAGGGCUUUUCACUUUGCAUGUUUCCAAAAUAUUCUUUAGAACACGGGUUACGGAAAUUGGCAGGGCCACUCUACGGAUCCCACCCACCCAUGCUCAGAUGCGUAACCUCCAGUAGCCUUGUGGUUUUAAAGCUUUCCGUCCUUCCCCUUCUCCUUCCUCUGCCUCCCUCCCCUACCUCUUUUACUAUCUCUACCUCUAGCUUCCUAAGCAUCCUCCUAGUCACAGAAGCCAAACCCGAGAGGGGUAGAGCCUAAAGUGAAGGAGAGGCUGAGAUAGCUUGACCUUACUCACUGCGUGCCUCAGCUCACUCAUCCAUGAAGUGAGGUUAAUAACGACAGAAUCUUCCUAAGGAUGGGACGAGGGAAUUCACACGAAGAGCUUAGCACCAAGCUCAGACUCUCUUGUCUGUACUGAACACAGGUUUAAGAAGCAGAAGAUACAGCAGACUUCUUCUAGGGAUGCGUGCUGAGGAGAGAGGAGGGAACGAGUGAGUGACCAAGGCAGGAAUUGUGUGUUUGGGAGUCUCUGGGGAUCCAGGGUGGCUGGAAUCGAUUCAGUGGUGAAUCGUGGAAGGGUGGCGGUGGGCUGGAACUGGGACCACAGUACUGUGAUUAAGAGCAUUGUCCCUGGAUCUGAGAUAGUCCAGCUCCAAUUCCAGCCACUUACCAACCAUAUGUGAUUCCCGUCAUUUCCCCACAUGUGACAAGGUCCUCACAGUCCCUGCUUUGGGAGACAGAAUACCUGAGUUAGUAAACAAGAGAACUGCUCUGUGGGAAAGUGGGGGUACACUUACAGCUCUUGUCCCAUGCGAACAUGUUUUGCAGGAGCUUGCAUGCGCGUGGGUGGCUCACGGGCCGGCCUGCGGCCAGCAGUAGUUCACAUGGUGUAUUUGUAUCUAUCUGUAGGUGUGUGGCGGAGCCAGGCCACAGGGAAUCUAUUGAGGCUUUGGGGGAAAGGUUGAUCUAGUCCGAGAAGUCCUUUAUGGAGACAGGAUGCAACCAUUACCUCAAAUAGUGGGGACUAGGAUUUAUAAUCAAUAAUGUGUAGGAAAGCUGCAUCUCCAUUCUCCCCCUCGUAUAACUUCAGUAGAAAACCUAUUUCUAGCAGGUUGGUGAGCUUGGUAAUGUCUGUCAUUGUCCUGUUUGUGCCUCUACCAGGAAGGCAGAUGGCUAAGCAAGAGUUAAUGUGGCCAGGCCGGCAGUGGGUGGUGUCUGCUAACAGCGGCAGGCAGGUCAAGCCUCCUAGAAGUGUUGGAAGCAGAGGGAAGCAGGGUAGGGAAGUUGUCAGUGGCCUUCAGAUAAGAGGACAUUCGACCUUGGCUGAGACCAAGGUCCUCCUCUGGAGGCCCCCAGCGUGCCAGCACAGCCCCAGGGGAGGGUAUGGAAGUCUCCUUGCCUGCAGUGGCUCUGCUCAGCCAGGGCUGGACAUUGGGCCUCUUGUUAUCUGCUCAUGCCACAUGCAGGCAAGGCAUGCUGGGCACAUAAGACUUGGCUGGCCUGCAGGAAGCUGGAAGAGCUUCUGUCCCUCUGGGGUCAGAGGUGACUGGAAUUUGGCAGUCAGGGACAUGGGAACUUCCUGUGACCCUCCCAGAGCUGAGACUGGCAGCAGGAACCAGACGGAGCUCGUGGUCAAGAAAUGACAGAAAGAUGAUUUGCGUGGCCACUUCCUUGUAAGAGCCACGUGGUGAGACUGGAUUUUGUGGUGUAUGUGCUUAAAAUACGCAUGCACUCAUGUAUGUGUUUGUGUGGCUAUGUGUUCUUAUGUGUACAUGUGUUUGUGUGGCUAUGUUGAGUGUGAGAAGGCACGAGUUCAGGGUUUGUAUUUGAAUUGCUAGAUGGAUGUGUGUGGGCUCGAGUUUCUCUAUCUGCUUUGGUAAAGAUGCUCUUGGCACAUAUAUGAAGCACAGGUGUAUGUGUGUACAGCCAUGUAUACUUGUGCUUAUAAGCAUGCAUUUGGGUGAGUUUUAUGUGAGCCUGUGUUUUGGAUACUUGUAUUAAAUGUGUAAGGAGGAGUAUGGAACACAUGUGUAUGAAUUCAUAGCACGAUUUCAGUGUGUGUUAUGCAUGUGUGUACAUACAUGCGUGUAUUGCGUGUGUGUGUGUAUGUGUGUGUGUGUUUUGCAUGUCCCAAAAAUCUAUCUUAGAAUCCAGCAAGAUGAAGCCACUGAGGGAGAGGAUUAAGAGCCACAACACUGGAAACACCUGGCCCUUCGUAUGGCCUUGGAGUCUUCAGAGAGGGUUUUGUGUUUCUUCCUUGCUCUCAAACGUGCCACCUGGCACUCACAUACACAAUCACUACACAUCCUGUUAGCUGUGACUCCCAGCUCAGCACAGGUCUGUAAUCAAAAGUGGGCACCUGCAAGCAGUGGCAGGUGAGAGGUUUGGCUUCCCUGGUGCUUGGAGGGGUCCCAGGCCUCAUGGCAAGCUGAGGCCCACUGCAGCCCACACAUCCAGUCAGUCCUGGCAUAGUGAGGGAGGGGUGGCUGCUGACACAGGAUCCAGUGCAGAGGCCUCUGGUGGGGAAGACUGGCUCUGCCUUGAAUGUGAGUUGGAAAUCCAGAGGCUUUCAGAGCAGGCGUGAGCUGCAGACACAGACCUCUCAGCAGAAGGACUUGGAGCAGACUCUCCACUUUCUUGUAGUUUUAAGAAAGAGUCUGGACUGAAGAUGUGGCUCAGCCAAGAGCUCACACAAGCAAGGCUCUGAAUUUAUUCUUGUGCUGAAAAAAAGAGUUUGUUAUUUCUCUCUAUUUUGGCAUUCGUGUGUUAUUUGUUCAAUAUGUUUCUAAUAAUAGACGAGGAGUGUGGCCUACUGCAUGCCUGUAUAAAGUUUUAUUGGUACACAGUCUUAAACACACCCAUGUGUUUAUGCAUUUUCUGUGGCUUCUUUCGUGCUACAAUGGUAGAGCCGAGUGGUUGUGACACAGACUCUGUGGCUCUUAAGGCCCCAAAUAUUUACCCUUGGUGCUCUGUAGGGAAACUUCGUUGACCUGGAACUAUAAGGUGAUUUCACCAGAGUGAGGAAGAUAAGCAUCAUGGAAAAAUAAAUGCUGAGCAAUUAGUGAAUGAAUGAAGGACUUAGUUAAUUAUGGAGCAUGUUUCUCUUGGAAUCUGGGCAGAGGGGCUGGUGUAUGCUAAGCCAUGGGGCCAAGAAUUAGUACAGGACACACACACACACACACACACACACACACACACACACACACACACAAUUGGCAGUUUAGCAGAGUCAGUGUUUAUUGACAGAAGUCUUCUCUGUAGAGGUAAAAUUGAACCUUCAGACUCAUCAGGUAUCUAAUAAUUAAAGAUGGGGAAUUGUACUUCAGGUGAAGGGACCAGCAUAGUUAGAGUUUGGGAGGCCUGAGGGAAGGAAGUGGGCUGGGUACUGGGCACAGCCAACCACACUGAGCCUUGGUAUGCACUUGUUGGGGACAGUGGGCAGAUGAGAAGGUGGAAAUGUUUUGUGGGGCAUAGAAGGAGGGUUAUCAAGGAGUUGGGACUUUGUCCUGUGAGUGCUGGAGAGGUGCAGGGACUGUUAGUGAGGAUCCAGAGAGACUCAGGAAGAUGAGGAAUGCAAAAUCCUGGGAAGGCCACUGACUGGAGUCCCAUCUUCCAGGGCAAGGCCAAAGAGACUGGGAUGUGAGCAAACUCUGCUCUGCAGAUACGGAUGAGCCAGUUACCUGGAGGGAACACAGGACAGGCAGUUAAAUAUGAACUUUGGAUAAAACAAAACAAAACAAAACAAAACAUGUUUAAUAAUCAAUAUAGUCCAAAUUUGCAUGGCAGAUACAAGAUGAUCUGCUGUUUUUCCUGAAAUCUAGAUCUUUCUGCCUGCCUAGUGUUUUCAUUGAAUAAAUCUAUCAACCCAUUUGUGUAAGGAUUCUUCUGGCUGAGCCUGGCUCUUGGGUGGUGACUUCACGACCCCAAAUGUGUGCCCGUGAAGCAAGGAAGACAAGGAGAGUGGCUGGACACCAGCAGAGUAAGGACCAUGGGACCCGAUCUUUUGGUUUAUAGGAAAAGAAAUGAGGGUUUAGAGAACAGAAGGGCUUGGCUCCAGGCCACCAGCCAGGCUUGGUCCUGGAACUCUGCACCUUGCUGUGUUACCUUGACAGGAAGUUCUGGCUCUUGAGGGGGGAUAGGGUGGACCUGGGACAGCUAAGUUGCUGUCCACAGGAGAGCCUCCAGAGCUCGUGAACGGCUUCUGGAAUGUUCUGUACCAGCCGGGCCCCAGCAGGGGAUUCAGUGUGUAUUCACCAGUGCUCCCUCCCCCCUUCUGUGCCUCAGUUCACCCAGCCAUAAAGUGGGACUAAUUACACCCACCUCCCAGCUGAGUUGUGAGGGAUUAAUUAACGUUUGUAAAGGCUUUGUGAUCCUUGGAUGAAAGGCGUUCCUUACAUAGAAAGGGUCAUUAUUUUUAUUAUUAUUAUACAAGUGCCAAGUAUUAUUACCUUAAUUAGCUUUUCUAGAUAUCAGAAGCAAUUAAGACAGAUCACUUGCUGAAUGCCACUCUAAAAACCUAAGUCAUAGAAACUGGUACAAUUGUUUGUCAGCUCCUUUUUCUGGCUGGGUGCUGGGAUGGGCCACAAGAAAGGGCUGAGGUUUGUUGGAGAAAUUUGAUUUUGGUUCUAGUCAAGACUCACUUGAUGUUAAAAAUUUGGAGGUAUUUAAAGUUUGUUGAUAACAAAGCCUUUUUUUUUUUUAAAAAAAAAGUGGAAAUGUCCUUUUAAGUAGGGGUGUGUGUGUGUGUGUGUGUGUGUGUGUGUGUGUGUGUGUUGGAAGAUGUAGGGAGUUAGCAUUUCUUGGGCUAGGAUAGAAGUAUGCCCUGUGUUCCUUCUAUUCAGAGAAGAUAAGGCUUUUGCGUUCAUGCACACUUGAUGGGGUUUACCAUGGGCAAGGCCCUACACUCACGGGCAUUACUGUCUCCACAAUUCCAUGCCGAACUUUUUGACUCUUAUUUUAAAAUGAGAAUGCUGUGGCCUGGUGAGGUGAGGUGACAGCUAGGAAGGACAAGAAGAGAAUGCAAAUACACACCAGAUUUGAUGCCACUCCUUUGCGUUAACCUGGUCCUUAUGUAGUCAACAGAUUUUUUUUGUUCCUUCAGAGACUGAAUGGUAGCACACAGGGCUAACAGGUUCAUGCAGUGCUUGGGGCUGCCCAAUCUGCUCAGUAUUUGAACCCAAUGUGGCAUUGUUUUGCCUCUAGAGGGUCUUUAGAGUUGGCUUGGAACCUUAGGGAACAAAUAGAGGAGGGAACUGUGUUGUGGAUGUACCUAUUAAGGCAGGCAGGGCAGGCCAGGGCAGAAUCAGCGGGGUGAGGCUUCCUCCGUGCUGUCCAGUUAGCUGGGUGGGUACAGAGCUGGCUGUAAUUAACUUUACCAGCGUCCUUAGCAGAGGUGAGAGGACCUUUCCCCCACUUUCCUUUCUACUCUGUCCAGCUUCCUUUGUGGCUACACAGACCCUCCCAAAGCUGUGACUAGGCCAGGGAACACUGGAUUGAUUUCCAUUUCUGGUGUGCUCUGAAUUGAGCUCAUAUCUGAGAUCUACACACAACCCCUUUUCUGUGUAUGAACCUCCCUUGGGGGCAGGUUGAGGACAGUGUUGAAGUCAAUGGGUGCAUUUAGAGGUAGCUGGGGUGGAGGGUACAGGUUAUUAACAGUAUAAGGAGAGGUUCUUUAAUGGAUGAAUAGAUGGGGUAGUGGAUGUGGGUGGGUGUUCAUAGAUUAGACAUAGGUGGAUAGCUGCAUGCAUGCACAGAUUGGGGGAGCAGAGUCCACUGAGUGGAAGGGUUGCUAUGUGGGUUUUCCUGGUUGAUGAGAGUGGUAGAGAAACACAGAGACGUUGGAAAUUUUGGUGAAUGGGUGGCAAGUUUGGAGAAGGAUAGAGAGGCUGGCAAACAAGGAGUCGGAGGAAAGGAAGAGAUUAAUAAAUGUCUGAAGAGGUCGGUGGAGACAUCUGGGAGAUACCUGGAGCGUGGUCAGUGGGUAGAGAGGAUGUCAGGUGGAGAAGAGGUUGUGAAAUACGGGCACCAGUUAAUGGAUGAGGAGAUUGGCUGUAGGUUCUGAGGAAGCUGAAGGACUUGGUUGUGAGGGUGGGAAAAAAAAUCUGGCCCAUGAGAGAGUUGGGUGAAUAGAACUGGAGUUGGCAGCAAGGGAUAGGGGCUGGUAGACAGACAAGGCAUGGGUGAAAUCAUGGACAUUUGAUGGAUAGAUGCUUUGAUGGAUGAGUAGAGGUAGCAAAUAAAGGCUGACGGGCAGGUCAGUGGGGGAGGCAGCUUAUAGGAUGGAGUAUUGGCAGGUGUAGAAAGCAGUUGGCGAGGGUUGAGUUGAGGAGAUGCAGGGAGGUAGGAGGAAGGUGGCUAGUGGGAGGGUAGAACGCUUGACUGAAUGACAGAAGCCUGACCGACAGCUAGGACAGGUAAUAAGACAUGCCCAAUGGCUUGCUGUGACCAGCCUCUCCUCCUCACAUCUCCCCCCAGCCCCCACCAGAGUCAGACUGUCCCCAGGUUCAGAAAGCCCCAGCCCCAGUCCGGCAGGCUUUCUAUAAUUAUCCGAGAACAGUAGCUCAAGGGGUGGGGCAGGCAGUGCCUGAAGAAAGGAGCUGACUCAGAGGCAGACGUCCUUCUGUAAGUGGUGUGUCAAAUGUGGCCAGUGGCCAGCAAGCCAGGACCAGCACCCAAGGCUCCUCCUUUCCCACCGGCUGUCUUGAUACCCACUUUGGAUGCCUCCAUAGAAUGUGGACUCUUCUCUUCCUUUUUUGUUUCCAUUCAAUUCUUGUUUUCUUUCUUUUGUGCCUUGCUCGUUUUCUCUCUGUCUUGUAUCUCUGGGUGACUUUUCUUUUGCUGUCUCCGUUUCUCUCUCUUCCUCCUCUCUGCUGCUUUCUUCAGUCCGAUCAGUUUUCUUUUCUUACUCUUUCUCUCUGUUCUUUGCCUCUGUCUGCCCCUGGCAGCAGGAGCCUGUCCUCUAGAAGACACACUUCGUCACUGUGGAUCUUCACAUGAAAGCAGCCUGGUUAUGGUGGGGUUUUUCUCUUAGGCUUUGAUUAAGGCCCUAAAGUUCCAAGAAAACUUUGCCCUUCCUUUAUUGACUUAAAAAUGAAAAGCCAUAGAGACCCUUUAGCUCAGUGGUUCUCCACCUUUCUAAUGCUGUGACCCUUUAAUACAGUUCCUGGUGUUGCGGUGACCCCAACCAUAAAGUUAUUUUGUUGCUACUUCAUAACUAUAAUUUUGUUACUUUUAUGAAUCUUAAUGUGAAUGUCUUUGAUAUGUAAGGUACCUGAAACAUGACCCCCAAAAGGGUCACAACCCACAAGUUGAGAACCACUGCACUAGCAAGAUCUGGAGGGACAAAAUUAAAGAGAGCACCACUCUCUCUCCCUCUCUCUCUGAAGAUGAUAGGCACUAGGAGAAUGGCCUUUUUCUGAAGCAGUUGAAGAACUGAGGGAGGAUGUCAGAGACAGGAACCUGGCUCAGUCACAGGUGUUAACCUGGUUUUGAGUGAACUGUGUUACAUGACUUGAGUUUUCUUUUUAAUACGCCACAAUAGGCAAGAGUGCUUUUGAGUUUGAGGGCCCAGAAGCAAACUCCAGUCCCAGCACCAUCCAUCCACUAGCUGUGGUACAAAUGACUCAGCCCCUCUGAUCCUUACUCUGCCUUCUAUAAUUACUUAAGUAAGGUACUGGACCAAAGUCCUUGUGGCCAUGAAGAGCAGACCCAGAGCAGAUACAAAACACUCAAAAUAAUGCCAAAGUUUUUAUUGGGAGGGUCUGGUUCUACGCAAUGUGGGAGCCAAUCAUAUGGUCGAUAGGUGUCUUUUGCUUCCAUGUUUAGGCCUGAAGCCAACAGAGCAAGUAUUUGGGAGGGAAAGAAAGCCAGGAGCUAGACAGUGACGAGAGUGGGAAUCUAGGGUAGAGCAUGCAGGUGAUAGAGUCCACACUGGUCUCUCAUUCUGCCUAGUCUCCCUCUUUGAAGAUGCCUGUGGCCUGCUGGAGAAGCUGAUGCCUGAUUCUAAGCCAUUCUAUCAGAGUGAUCCAGAGUUGAGGAAGUUCGAAGCCUGGAGAAAGCAGAAGAGCUUAGAGGCCUGGGGCUGCCUCAGUACAACCAGGGGACCUUGUAGACCAGCAGGGAGCUUAUCAUCACAGCACACUGGUCUGUGUGGGUGUGUGUGCGCGUGGGUGCCUGUGUGUGUGUGUUUAUGUGUGUGUGUGUGUGUGCACAUGUGUAUCAGGUGUGCACACAUGUGUGCACCUGUGCAUGCUUUGCCAUCUGUGUCUACCCCAGAGUAUGAAAGAAGUCCAGCUGUGUCCUGACACUAACGUGUCCCUUGGUGUCUAAGCUGAUUCAGAAUAUACAGUCUUUGCUGAGUACAAAAGUCGCCACAAACCCCCAGUGGCCACGCUCUUAGGGCCUUUAAUAUUUUUUCAUCAUAUUUUUAUGAAGGACAUUACAAAUAUAUGCAUCUUGUUUCUAACAUAUUUUAGAAUACUUCAUCUGCUUUAGUUAACAAGCAUCAUAUAUACUUAUCUCAUCCAACAUGGUGUGGUUUUUUUUUUUUUUCUUUUGUUUUUCGAGACAGGGUGUUUCUAUGUAGCCUUGGCUAUCCUGGAACUUGCUUUGUAGACCAGGCUGGCCUCGGAUUCACAAAGACCUACCUGCCUCUGCUUCCCGAGCUCUGGGAUGAAAGGUGUGUGCCACCGUGUCCAAUAUGCUAUUUGGAUGGGUGUGUGUAUCCUGGGAUGGGUAAAUUGGGGUCAUUAACAUACACAUUACCUCACAUACCUUCUUUUGUAGCAAGAACCCUUAAAAUCUAAUCUCAUACCAAUAUUCAAGAGUGAAAUAUGUUGUUAUUAACUAUAGCCAUAUGUGAGCUUUUUUGCACUUAACUUUUUUCCUUUUAAUGGCCCAAUGUGAAUUCUGGACUGAAGUUAGCCUGUCUUUUUCUUAUGUGCUUUAGAGCUUUAGGCUAAACGUCGUAUUGCUAAAUAAACACUCCACGGUGUCCUUUACGUUCGCCAGGUGACUCCAAUGCACAAGUGGGCAUGGAAGCCACUUGUCCAUGUUGACAGUGACUAGGCACAACAGGGUAUACACAGGGCUCACGUGAAAUAGGUCCUUAAAUCCCAGGGCCGGAGAAGAUCAAGGUAGUAUGUCUAAUAAGGGAUGGCCCCUCCAUCUGGUCCAAGUACUAUAGUUCUGCUGUAUCACGUGGCCCCUGAGAGGAAGGGCAAGGAAGGGGCAUGGUGGCCAACUUCUUUUGCCUGCAUGUGUGUAUGGGGUGUGGGAUACAUUUGCAUGUAUGUAUGUAUGUAUGUAUGUAUGUAUGUAUGUAUGUAUGCAUGCAUUCAUGUGGAGGGUAAGGGACAGUCUUGGUGUCAUUAUUCAUGUGCCAUUGACUUUGUUCUUUUGGGACAGGAGCACUAGGCUGGCUAGCGAACCCCAGGAAAGUGCUUUAGCUCAUUCCUUCCAGUGCUGGGAUUGUAAGCAUGUGCCUAGCUUUUUGGUAUUGGUUCUAGAACUGAAUUCAGAGCCUCAUGUUGGCAAGGCAAGUACUUGACUGACUAAGCCAUCUCUCCAGCCCUGAUGUAGAUGAACUAUUUUUUUGACCUAUUCAUGAGAAAGAGUGCAAGAUAGAGCUGGGUUUAAGCAUCCCCCUCACAGACUCCGCACCCCUUCUUUCGUUCAUCUACAGCAUGCUCUGGAGACAGCACGUUUUACCUCUAGGAGCAUGACUGUGGUGAGGCUGGCCUAGCCCGCUUCCAGUGGCUAGUUUGGGUUGUGGAUGGAAAACGGGAGUCGAGGGAGCAGGGAGAGGAAUUGUCUUGUGUAACAGUUGGCUCGGCGUUAAAAAUCUGCGCUUCCUUUGUGUGUCUAGGAAGAGCUUCCCGUGGGGGUAGGAACUUCCCAUUUAAGGACUGUUCUUCCUUCUGUGUGCGGUGUUCAUGAGUGGAAGUGAUUCAUCACUUCCUGGUCAAGGAGUUUAAGUAGGAAAUAGAGCAGUGAUUCUCAACCUGUGGGUCUCAACCUUGUGGAGGGUGUCACAGAUCAGAUAUCCUGCAUGUCAGAUAUUUAUAUUAUGAUUCACAGUAUUAGAAAAAUUACAGUUAUGGAGAAGCAAUGAAAUAAUUUUAUGGUUGGGGGUCACAGCACGAGAAACUGCAGCAUUGGGAAGGUUGAGAAGCACUGAAGUAGAGCUUCCUGACUUCCGGCCGAUCUGCUGAGGAGACGCAGACAGUCGGUGCAGCCCUGGAUCCUCACGCUGUACCAGUUGGGGCCCAGGGGUUGAGUGCAGCAGUCUUCCACCCUCACCAGCCAGCAGGUGUUGGGUUAAAUAAUCACUUUAGAGGAAAUAAAAUCGCAGAGCCAGAAGCCAUCAGAAUUUGUGUAUUACAGUGUCUGGCAAGAUUCAAAUCAUGGCCCUUGCAACAAGACCAGCAGUGUCCCCUUGGAAGUUGUUAGAAGUGCAGAUUCUCAGGGACCACUGUCUAGAAGACAGUUUGAAAACUCGGACUAAGCCUGGUCACUGGGCUUUGACAAACUCCCAGGGGAUCCCAAGUUCUAACUCAGGCUAGAAAUCCCUGUCCCAGCCUACUCACAGCUUCAUGCAUAGCUCCUGAGUGGAACUUAGCUUCCCGGCCUCACAUCUGGCUUCUUACCCUCCCCCAAGACCACCUCUGCCUCCUAGGCACUUUCUGCAGAAGACGAUGGUAAUACCUGCUCUAGUAUUGUUUUAAUUAAAACAUUUAAUUUAGGGACUGAAAAGAUAGCUCAGUGCUUAGAAGCACUGUCUGCUCUUCCAGGGGCCUGGGGUUCAAUUCCAAGAACCUAGAUGGCAGCUCACAACUGUGUGUACUCCAUUCUAGGAUAUCCAACACUCUCUUUUGGCUUCCUUUGGGUACCAAGCACACACAUAUGUUGCACAGACAUAUAGACAGACAAAGAACCCAUAAACAAACAAACAAACAAACAAACAAACAAAUAAAUAGCUUUUAAUUCAAUUUGAUUUUGUGUGUAUGAAUGUUUUACUUGUAUGCAUAGCUGUACACCACGUGUGCUCCUAUUACCCACAGGGGCCAAAAGAGGGCAUCGAAUUUCCUGGAAUUGGAGUUCUAGAUGGUUUGUGAGUUACCAUGUGAGUGCUGGGAACUGAACCUGGGUCCUGUGGAAGAAGAGCUGGCACUCUUAACUGCUGAGCCAUCUUUCAUGUAAUUCUUGACCUGAAGGCAGCCUGAGAUGGUUCACUGACUCUAUCCCCACUUUUUCUUUCCCUUGUCGGCUACAGAGAAGCAUCGACAGUUAGCUGACUGGUAAGUUCCUCAAGAAGCUAAAACAUAUGGCUGGACCAACUGCCAUGGGGUGGGGUUUAUUGUCAGCCCUGUUUUGUAAAUGCGGAAAUAGAGACUCAAAGGGCAUGUAGGAUGGGGAAGAGGUCUAGGAUUUGAACCUGCCAUCUUCAUAUUGUUUCUGAGCUCUUCAAACUUCCAACCCCAUGUCUCCAGGUGACUGGUCUUCUUUAGACAGAACUUUGAACUGCAGCCUCAUUACCUCAGUGAUGGAAUCACACCAGGCUUCCAGGGACACAGACUUCUGUUUGGUUUAUGUCUGUGACUAUGAAUUCAAGACAUCAUACAGAGAGUGAGAGAACGAGCUAAGUAAUAGUACCGUUUGGUUCACUGAAACAGGUCAGUGAGAUGUUGUACAUCUAGAACCAGCUUGGAUCUCUACAGAGGGAGGAGACAUUUUCUGCAAAGGAGCUGGCACCCUGCUGUAAUUUCUGCAAUUGUUUGCAGUGGGGAAACAAAUGGCCCUGGUGCUUGUGGGCUGUGUGAAUUAGAACAGAGGUUCUCAAACUUGAACAUGUGUUAAGAUCUCUGUUAAGGCUUGUUAGAACACAGGUCCCUGCGACCCACCCCUAGAGUCUUCUGAUUUGGUUAGUCUGGAAUUGGGCCAACAAUUGCUUACAUGCCUCUGAUAUGGCUGCUCUCGGAACCACUCUAAAAAGCACUGGAUUAAGGUAAUACCAAUAUGGACCCAGAUAAACCCCCAUCUGUCAGCAGCCUAGGUCUGUGAAAGUAUCCUCAUUGAUUAAUGGGGGAAUGGCUAAACACAUGGCAAUAUGCUAUAUGACACAAUGAGUAGGAAGAAUCAGAUGUGAGUGAAUUAAUUCAAGUAUCAACAGAGAAAGGUAAUUUGUCAAAUAAUUUUUGUAGCAUGAUCCCAUUUUGGUAAAAACAAAUCCAAAAUCAAUAAUACAUUUCUUCAAGCCCUGAAUCCUAAACCAACUGAACAAAGAGGGGAGAACAUACCUGGAAUAAAGGUGUCAUUGGAAGUUGAGGGAGAACAGCUUGCUAACGGUACUCCUGUUUGUCUUUUCUUUUCUUUUCUUUUCUUUUCUUUUCUUUUCUUUUCUUUUCUUUUCUUUUCUUUUCUUUUCUUUUCUUUUCUUUUCUUUUUUUCGGAGCUGGGGACCGAACCCAGGGCCUUGCGCUUGCUAGGCAAGCGCUCUACCACCGAGCUAAAUCCCCAACCCCACUCCUGUUUGUCUUAAGAGGAUGAUUGUAAUUUUAAAAUUCAAGAAACAAUGAAAACUACUUCAGAAUCCCUUAAAGGAACAUUUGGGAUCCUGCUUUGUUUCUCCCCUACAGGAGAUGGGUAAUAUCCCUUUUUUCUAUCUACAGGUAAAAUAAUGUUUUUUUUUUCCCCUAGGGUCCUGGGCAAGGCCAGAUGAGCAAACCACACAGGAGGUUCCAGCCAGUGAUGCACUGGGAGUCCAGUCACGUCAUGCUACUUCAUGAUGCUCCUGACUAUAGGGGACAGAAGUAAGGAAGAGCCAAAGAAACCGGGUCAGGACUCACAUCUCACGGUCACAUGUAGCGAGAGGCACUGGUCCUAGCAUGGACACUGAGACAUGGCGCCUUCAGGUUGGAGGUCAUGGAUUAUUACAUUAGCCGACACCAGAAGUGAUUAGUAUGAUUUUUGUAUGUGUCAAGAUACAUUUGGAGAUGAACUUGAACUCACCGUGUGGCUGCAGUGUGGCUCUUUCCGGACAAAGAAUCCCCAUCUUGGUCUCUAACUGCUCUUCCCUGGUUCCCUUUCCAGGGCCCACACAGUUCUUUACAUCAGUCAAGUCCAAACUCACACCUCCAGUCAGGUAGACGUGUUUCAGGUUAAUUAGGGGCCUCAGUCAAUUUAGUUCAUGGGCUGUAAUUACAAGCACCUAAGACCUGCAAUUUCUGUUUUAAUUAAAAUAAACAGUGUGGAGGGGCUGACAUCACAUCAGGGCAACUGGUGUGCAAGGCUGGGUAAUUACACUAAAACAGAGCUUCUUGCUGUGGUGUAGUCUAUUGGGAUCCAUGGUGGAGCACUGGGCAUGGCUGUCCUGGUGAAUGCUAAUUACCUCACUGCCAGUCACAGCUCUAACCAGACAGGUUGGUUAGUGGUGGUGAUGACUUUAGAACAUGCUCCUUUCAAGUUAGAGCUGAGCUGUGACCCGUGGGGCAUGGGUGUAUUUACAUACAAGAUGUCCAUUUAAAUGUAUUUAACUGUGACAAGCUUCCAUGCACCAACUCGAUGAUAGGAAACAAUUCUUAUUUUUAACUGCUGGUUUUAGGGUUCCUUUUGGGGAGGGUGUUACCCCUCCUUAGGAAAAUAAUAGUUCAUUUGGAAAAGGUAAUGCACCUCUUGACUGGUCAUCCUUAGGAAUAACAGAAUGUGGGGAUGGGGUGGAGCUGAGGAAAGGAAGCAGAGAAGGGAGGGGAAAGAAGCAGAGAGCAGAGUGGGAGGGCCAAGUGUGAGGAAAGGGCACCCAUUCACACGUGACAAGCUGGCCAGGGUGGCCAGAGGAAGUGUUAAAACAACACACUUAAUGCAUAGUUUAAAACUGUUUUUGCUUUGCUUUGCUGUCAACAGCCCCCCACACCCUGGCAUUGCACACCGUCAGUUAUUAACAAUCACCCACGUUCCCUGAUCAGUUUUUCUUGUAUGUGGGUUGCUGAUCCAGGCAGGGUUUAAUUCUACAUUUGAGUUAGGUAAGUAGGAUAUCACACAGAAAUAAAACACUGAGCAUUGUGAAAAGGGAUCUAGAUGUGGUCUCAGAUAUAUGUUUCCAGGGACUUUUAGACAUCUGGAGUCCGGAGGAGGCUCACCAUGGGUCAGGAGAGACAGUCCGUAUUUGUCUAGGAAAAUAAAUCUUGCUUUAGCACUCAGCUGCUUGGAACCUUCCACCAGUUUCCCAUUGUUUCUAGAGUAAAGAAUAUGCUCAUUUAAAUAUUGGGAUUGGCUGAAAUAAAACUCCAGAGCUCUCUGGUCCUAAUCCUGCAAA
Rattus norvegicus (Norway rat) is the source of this 18249-nucleotide long non-coding RNA. RefSeq lists it as uncharacterized. The record is from RefSeq and is a predicted model, not a curated record. Lineage: Eukaryota; Metazoa; Chordata; Mammalia; Rodentia; Muridae.